GCUGCGGUGGCCGAGUGGUUCAAGGCGGCAGAUUUAAGCCCUUGUGGGAGAAUCUCUGCUGGAGAGAUCCGCGCGAGUUCGAACCUCGUCCGCAGCA
Molecule: non-coding RNA, 97 nt
Organism: Dissoconium aciculare CBS 342.82
Lineage: Eukaryota; Fungi; Ascomycota; Dothideomycetes; Mycosphaerellales; Dissoconiaceae
Source: the annotation of a RefSeq genome assembly